UAGAAAGGCUACAGGCAAAAGCAGAGGUGU
Molecule: non-coding RNA, 30 nt
Filed under: Mus musculus (house mouse)
Lineage: Eukaryota; Metazoa; Chordata; Mammalia; Rodentia; Muridae
Source: RNAcentral